UUUCGCAAUGCCCGAAAGGGUGACGAAGCGACGCCGCGUGAGUGAGGAAGGCCUUCGGGUUGUAAAGCUCUGUCAGGAGUUAAGAAAUAUAAGUGUGUUAAUACCACAUUUAUUUGACGAAGGCUCCAAAGGAAGCCACGGCUAACUCUGUGCCAGCAGCCGCGGUAAUACAGAGGUGGCAAGCGUUGUUCGGAAUUAUUGGGCGUAAAGAGCACGUAGGUGGGUUUGUAAGUCAGAUGUGAAAGCCUUCUGUUCAACGGAGGAAUUGCAUCUGAAACUGCGAGUCUUGAGUGUAGGAGGGGAGAAUGGAACUUCUGGUGGAGCGGUGAAAUGCGUAGAUAUCAGAAGGAACGCCGGCGGCGAAAGCGAUUCUCUGGCCUAUUACCGACACUCGGUGUGCGAAAGCUAGGGGAGCAAACGGGAUUAGAUACCCCGGUAGUCCUAGCUGUAAACGAUGGGCACUAAGUAGAGGGGUUUUA
Molecule: ribosomal RNA, 479 nt
Filed under: uncultured anaerobic ammonium-oxidizing bacterium
Lineage: Bacteria
Description: bacterial SSU rRNA
Rfam family: Bacterial small subunit ribosomal RNA
Source: RNAcentral